Molecule: small RNA, 1198 nt
Filed under: Pongo abelii (Sumatran orangutan)
Lineage: Eukaryota; Metazoa; Chordata; Mammalia; Primates; Hominidae
Description: retained intron
Source: RNAcentral
AGAAGGGAGCCACACUUUUCAUGCUGAGCGCAUUAAAGUGCCGAUAGGAAACUUCUUACAGAUUGUGGAGAGCUGCAGCCAACUCCAGGGUUUCCAGUCUGAGGAGGUCUCACCUGCUGAAGCAGCCAGCCCUGGGACGCCCCGGCAGGCGGAGGACAAGACCCGGCAGGAGUCGAGCUUUGAGGACAUGAUGGCCACCAGGUCCUCUGACUGGCUCCGGCGGCCUUUGGGGGAGGACAAUCAGCCAGAGACCCAGCUGUUCUGGGACAAGGAGCCUUGGUUUUGGCACGACACUCUGACCGAGCAACUCUGGCGGAUUUUUGCCGGCGUCCACGAUGAGAAGGCAAAGCCCAGAGACAGACGUGAGUGUCCCCGAGGGUGAGGGGGAAGGGGCGGCCACAGGCUGCAUCUCAGGGGCCGUGCAGUGAACCCUGCUGUUCUCUCUCUGUCCCCCUCCUCCUCUCCGUUGUCAUGGUGACAGAGCAGGCACCAGGCCUGGUGAGUAAACAACCUCAGCUCUACCCAGAGGGGUGGGCUUCCGGGCAGGAGGUUGGGCUCCCCCAGGUCAGGGCACUGGGGUUCCUGUGGGAUUUGUCUUCCUUCCGUCCUGCCCCUCGGGUCCCCUGGGGGGGGACUUGGGUGAUCCAGGAGGCUAUACUGGAGUAGCCCAGGACCCACAGCCCAGGGCUUCCAGGACCCUAUACCCUGACUCUCUCUCUGCAACUCUGCCUGGACUCACAGACGGGAUCCCAGGCAGCUGACAAGCCCCGUGCACGCUGCCCAGGAAUCCCUGAGGUCGUCUGGUCCUAACAGGCAGGUCAGCAGGCCUGAUGAGACUUUUCCAUUUUCCAGGGGCAGGAAAGCAAGGCACCAGGAUCCUGUGACCCAGGAACAGACCCAUGUCCCGAAGAUGCCUCCAGUAAACCCAGCGGGCAGGGGCCGACCGACUCCAGGCGGGAUGGGGUGGGGGGCAUCCUGCGCUUAGGAGCCAAUGCAAGCCAGUUAGUCCCUCUUGUCUCCCCGCUAGCCCCCAGGCCACCUGAGACCUCCUCCAGCCCCCCUGAGGGUUCCCAAGACAAGAACACAAGUUGGGGUGUGGUCCAGGUGAGACCCAGGCCUGAGCUGGUAGCCCAGUGUGAAGACUGUCCAGGUGGGGUAGAGGAGGGGGGCACAGAUGUGAUGUGCGGGGAGGCUGGGG